RNAcentral lists this ribosomal RNA (253 nucleotides) under uncultured bacterium. Its description in RNAcentral is "partial 16S ribosomal RNA". It matches the Rfam family "Bacterial small subunit ribosomal RNA", at positions 524 to 776 of the family's 1533-position model. The record is from RNAcentral.
UACGGAGGGUGCAAGCGUUGCUCGGAAUUAUUGGGCGUAAAGGGUAGGUAGGUGGUCUUAUUUGUCUGGGGUGAAAUCCUUGAGCUUAACUCAAGAAGUGCCCCAGAAACGGUGAGACUAGAGUCCUGGAGAGGGUCGUGGAAUUCCCGGUGUAGCGGUGAAAUGCGUAGAGAUCGGGAGGAACACCAGAGGCGAAGGCGGCGACCUGGACAGGAACUGACACUCAACUACGAAAGCGUGGGGAGCAAACAGG